RNAcentral lists this ribosomal RNA (497 nucleotides) under uncultured bacterium. RNAcentral's name for it is "partial 16S ribosomal RNA". It matches the Rfam family "Bacterial small subunit ribosomal RNA", at positions 28 to 507 of the family's 1533-position model. The record is from RNAcentral.
GAUGAACGCUGGCGGCGUGCCUAAUACAUGCAAGUCGAGCGAACGGACGAGAAGCUUGCUUCUCUGAUGUUAGCGGCGGACGGGUGAGUAACACGUGGAUAACCUACCUAUAAGACUGGGAUAACUUCGGGAAACCGGAGCUAAUACCGGAUAAUAUUUUGAACCGCAUGGUUCAAAAGUGAAAGACGGUUUUGCUGUCACUUAUAGAUGGAUCCGCGCUGCAUUAGCUAGUUGGUAAGGUAACGGCUUACCAAGGCGACGAUGCAUAGCCGACCUGAGAGGGUGAUCGGCCACACUGGAACUGAGACACGGUCCAGACUCCUACGGGAGGCAGCAGUAGGGAAUCUUCCGCAAUGGGCGAAAGCCUGACGGAGCAACGCCGCGUGAGUGAUGAAGGUCUUCGGAUCGUAAAACUCUGUUAUUAGGGAAGAACAUAUGUGUAAGUAACUGUGCACGUCUUGACGGUACCUAAUCAGAAAGCCACGGCUAACUACGUG